CCACAGUUUCGUUUGUUUGGAGGGACACUGCCCAAGAUGGCUGCCCUGUGGAGAGAGAGGGAGAUGAAGCAUGAAAAAAUAAAGUAGCAGCUGUAAAAAAUAAAGUAGCAUGGAAGUUUGAACAUUUUUUUUAUUUUCAUAUUGGACUGGCCAUUUCGGAUUUAUGUUUGGACCUUUCCCUAAAUGGAGUACUCUACGUUUCCAGAUGAAUUAUCAGACUAUCGUGUUUAAUGGACUGAAGUUUCAUCCUGGACAUUGGCUCGGGCCUGCUGCUCAAGGUUGUCCGGAGCACCUGCCUGACAGAAAUACAAUGCUGGGCGACUUAUGA
This 328-nucleotide long non-coding RNA is filed under the name Gadus morhua (Atlantic cod). RNAcentral's name for it is "lncRNA (ENSGMOG00000033293.1)". Lineage: Eukaryota; Metazoa; Chordata; Actinopteri; Gadiformes; Gadidae. The record is from RNAcentral.